RNAcentral lists this small nuclear RNA (104 nucleotides) under Dipodomys ordii (Ord's kangaroo rat). Lineage: Eukaryota; Metazoa; Chordata; Mammalia; Rodentia; Heteromyidae. The record is from RNAcentral.
GUGUUCGCUUCAUCAGUACAUAUACUAUAAUUGGAACGAUACAGAGAUUAGAAUGGCCCCUGUGCAAGGAUGACAUGCAAAUUCAUGAAGCGUUUAAAAAAAAA